This 253-nucleotide ribosomal RNA is filed under the name uncultured bacterium. Its description in RNAcentral is "partial 16S ribosomal RNA". It matches the Rfam family "Bacterial small subunit ribosomal RNA", at positions 526 to 779 of the family's 1533-position model. The record is from RNAcentral.
CGUAGGGGCGAGCGUUAUCCGGAUUUACUGGGUGUAAAGGGAGCGUAGACGGCGUAUCAAGUCUGAUGUGAAAGGCAGGGGCUUAACCCCUGGACUGCAUUGGAAACUGGUAUGCUUGAGUGCCGGAGGGGUAAGCGGAAUUCCUAGUGUAGCGGUGAAAUGCGUAGAUAUUAGGAGGAACACCAGUGGCGAAGGCGGCUUACUGGACGGUAACUGACGUUGAGGCUCGAAAGCGUGGGGAGCAAACAGGAUU